AGAGUUUGAUCAUGGCUCAGGAUGAACGCUAGCGGCAGGCCUAAUACAUGCAAGUCGAACGGAUAUGAGGACUUCGGUUCUCAUGUUAGUGGCGCACGGGUGCGUAACGCGUAUGCAACCUACCUUUUACUGGGGGAUAGCCCGGAGAAAUCCGGAUUAAUACCGCAUAACACUAUUUGAGGGCAUCCGAAGAUAGUUAAAGAUUUAUUGGUAAAAGAUGGGCGUGCGUGCCAUUAGCUAGUUGGUGGUGUAACGGACCACCAAGGCGACGAUGGCUAGGGGUUCUGAGAGGAUGAUCCCCCACACUGGUACUGAGAUACGGACCAGACUCCUACGGGAGGCAGCAGUAGGGAAUAUUGGGCAAUGGAGGCAACUCUGACCCAGCCAUGCCGCGUGCAGGAUGAAGGCCUUCUGGGUUGUAAACUGCUUUUAUCUAGGAAGAAAAAACCCUUGCGAGGGGGAACUGACGGUACUAGGUGAAUAAGCACCGGCUAACUCCGUGCCAGCAGCCGCGGUAAUACGGAGGGUGCAAGCGUUGUCCGGAUUUAUUGGGUUUAAAGGGUGCGUAGGCGGCCCGUUAAGUCCGUGGUGAAAGCCAACAGCUCAACUGUUGAACUGCCAUGGAUACUGACGGGCUUGAGUACAGACGAGGUAGGCGGAAUGGAUGGUAGCGGUGAAAUGCAUAGAUACCAUCCAGAACACCGAUUGCGUAGGCAGCUUACUAGGCUGUAACUGACGCUGAGGCACGAAAGCGUGGGGAGCGAACAGGAUUAGAUACCCCAGUAGUCC
This 789-nucleotide ribosomal RNA is filed under the name uncultured bacterium. RNAcentral's name for it is "bacterial SSU rRNA". It matches the Rfam family "Bacterial small subunit ribosomal RNA", at positions 8 to 796 of the family's 1533-position model. The record is from RNAcentral.